Long non-coding RNA from Vicia villosa (hairy vetch), 2395 nucleotides. RefSeq lists it as uncharacterized. NCBI's taxonomy places the organism in Eukaryota, Viridiplantae, Streptophyta, Magnoliopsida, Fabales, Fabaceae. The transcript has 7 exons. The record is from RefSeq and is a predicted model, not a curated record.
UCAAAGUUUGGAUUCUGAAAACCUAGAAGGAAAAGAAAAGAGGAGGAGCCUCUCUCUCCCGUCCUCACGCUCUCCGCUCUCUCUUCCACGACGAACAACAACAUCAGCGGCGCUUAAUAAAGCUCAACCAUGGUAGCUUUUUGUUCUCAUCAUCAUCUCUCUUGAGAGCGACAACAACAACGAUGGUCUUCGGUUCUCUCUCUCUUGCGAAAACGACGACAAUAACAGAAAAAUCUCUCUCUCGGUUUCUCACGGCGGCCAUGGAAUAAGCUCGAAGAAUCUCACAUACUCACGAAUCCAGAUCUAUCUGGAGCAUGUGUGGUGAAUGCUGAAUGGCGAAAGUAGCUACACCAAGUGCCAUGCCUCCGAGUUCUCGUGGAAUUUCAUCGGUACCUCUAAAAGGUGCUUCUAUUGCUAAAAGAAAGACGCCUUCAUAACUUAGGGUUAGUCUGGGAAGGAAAAUUCCGGAGGCGUGUGCUGCAAUCUUGUGGAAGAGUGCUAAAGCUGCUCCAAAGGUAUAUAUAUAUGUAUAUAUAUAUAUAUAUAUAUAUAUAUAUAUGUAUAUAUAUAUAUACAAAAUCGAUACUUGAAUGUGCAGAUUGCAAAUCAUUGUUUUGUUAUGUUUGGAGAGCUUCUAUACAGAAUUCAAAUAAAUUCAUGACAGUGGAGGUGUAAGUUUUGUUUCUCUAUCUAUAAAGCCUAUCUAUGAAGCACGGACACAAGAAACACGACACCGACACUGAUAUGUCGACACCUCGACACUUGUAAUAAUUUGAAAUUCGGUGCUUUGUAUAAACCUUGUAGGAUUAUGAAGUGGAAACAGGUAUCUAAUACUGAUACGUAUAUGCACCAAUAAUAAUUUUAAGAAAAUGAAAGUAAUCAAUAUAAUCAAAUGUGUAUGCAUUGGUGUUGUGUUUUUGUAAGAUACAUACAUGUAAGAAACUGACAUGUGAUGUUGGUCUUGUAGGGAUGGUCACUUUAUUAUAUUCAAAAGGCAUUUACUACAGCUGCCUCUAAGUUGGAAAAGAUUGGAUAUGCAGACUUAGGGAGAAUAAGGAAGCUAUAGAGCCUAAGGAAGAUCCAGAAAGGGAUCAAAGAAUUGUUUUUGCCUAUCAGGUUAUUUGGUUGGCUCUGUUCUAUUUUUGUCUUGGAUUAUAUUUGAACUACUACUAGAGUUGUAUUGUAUCAAGUAUGAAUGGCUAAUAUGCAAAUGUUGAUGAUAGAUAAUCUAGCAAGCUUCCUGCAGAGUCAUGUUUAGUCUGAUUAUGCAAGCUUUUUCAUUAUAUUUAGUCUGAUUAUGCUACUACCUGUUGGUAUAUGUUAAUAUUACAUCUUCGGCGGUGCUUUGCAGAGUCAUGUUUAAUGUCUAACAUGAUGGUAUAUUUAAUUACUCAAAAAUACACUCCUAGUUGAAUUGAGUAAAUAGCUACACUAGAUAAUCUAGACAUAACAUUGCAGGAAGUGAUGCAUUUCUUACAUCAACUUACUGCUGGUAUGGGCCAGAAUGUAAAAUUCAGAGUGAGAAACAUAGGCGAGGGAGACGAUUUAACUGUUGCAGUAAAAUGGCAGUUGGGUCAUAGUCCUAUCCUAUGCUAAUUUACUACUUUUCUACUCGCUAUUUAUUUUUCUCGCAACAUAUAAGUGAUAUAAGCUUGAUGAUAAUCUUUUUGGUAUGGUAAAAUGGAAGGAGGAUCAAAUCCCAUUCACCAGAGGCUGCAGCUUCUUUCAGUUAGCAAAAGUAGAAGAAAACGUGAAAAUAAAGAGAGCUGAGAUAUUUAUCGAAUCACUAGUCAAACCUGGAAGCAUAGUUUUGGUAACUACAAAAUAGAAACCAUCUUGCUAAGUCGGUUGCAUUGUUAAAGCACAUUCAUGAAACACUGAAUCAAGUUGAUGAUCUAGCACAUACAUGCUUUGGAACACUGUUAUGAUGCAGAUGACAACAAACAGAAAGAAGUAUUUGAAACACUUCAGCGUGGACCGAAACGAAGCCGAAGUUCGAGAGGCUACAAUCAAUGAUGCCAUGGUACUCAGUUUAUAACCCUUCGCACAACUGGAGGUAUCUUGAACCCGGAGCAAUUCAAGUAGUUCAAACUUGUCAAGACAGAACCCGGAGUUGCAGGGAUAUGCUGAUGAAUGUUAAUUGUCCAAAGCAGCCAUAAGAAGAAUGAACUAUAUUGUGGUGAUUCAUCAAGUUAACAAAAACACCGAACAUUGUUGUGAAGUAUAUAUUUACAGUUUAGCUAAUCAUGAACCAAUCAAUGUCAUAAAAAAUGUUUGAAUUCUGUCAUGAACCUACUUGUGUUUGUUCAACAUUACCAAAACUCAUUCAAAACAAUUGUCAAUAAUAGAUAUUUGUAUCAUUUGAUGCAAGUGGUAAUAAUUAUUGGUUUUUGAU